Molecule: ribosomal RNA, 245 nt
Filed under: uncultured bacterium
Lineage: Bacteria
Description: partial 16S ribosomal RNA
Rfam family: Bacterial small subunit ribosomal RNA
Source: RNAcentral
UACGAAGGGGGCUAGCGUUGUUCGGAAUUACUGGGCGUAAAGCGCACGUAGGCGGAUCGAUCAGUCAGGGGUGAAAUCCCAGGGCUCAACCCUGGAACUGCCUUUGAUACUGUCGAUCUGGAGUAUGGAAGAGGUGAGUGGAAUUCCGAGUGUAGAGGUGAAAUUCGUAGAUAUUCGGAGGAACACCAGUGGCGAAGGCGGCUCACUGGUCCAUUACUGACGCUGAGGUGCGAAAGCGUGGGGAG